UACGUAGGGGGCAAGCGUUGUCCGGAAUCACUGGGCGUAAAGGGCGCGUAGGCGGCCUGAUAAGUAGGGGGUGAAAUCUUGCGGCUUAACCGCAAGGCUGCCUUCUAAACUGUCAGGCUAGAGCACAGUAGAGGCAGGUGGAAUUCCCGGUGUAGCGGUGGAAUGCGUAGAUAUCGGGAAGAAUACCCGUGGCGAAGGCGGCCAGCUGGGCCAGAUCCGACGCUGAGGCGCGAAAGCGUGGGGAGCAAACAGG
This 253-nucleotide ribosomal RNA is filed under the name uncultured bacterium. RNAcentral's name for it is "partial 16S ribosomal RNA". It matches the Rfam family "Bacterial small subunit ribosomal RNA", at positions 524 to 776 of the family's 1533-position model. The record is from RNAcentral.